AUUGAACGCUGGCGGCAGGCCUAACACAUGCAAGUCGAACGAGUGGCGGACGGGUGAGUCAUGUCUGGGAAACUGCCUGAUGGAGGGGGAUAACUACUGGAAACGGUAGCUAAUACCGCAUACCAUCGGAUGUGCCAAGAUGGGAUUCGCUAGUAGGUGGGGUAAAGGCUCACCUAGGCGACGAUCCCUAGCUGGUCUGAGAGCAUGACCAGCAACACUGGAACUGAGACACGGUCCAGACUCCUACGGGAGGCAGUAGUGGGGAAUAUUCCACAAUGGGCGAAAGCCUGAUGCAGCCAUGCCGCGUGAAUGAUGAAGGCCUUCGGGUUGUAAAGUACUUUCAGCGGGGAAGCGUUACCCGCAUAAGAAGCACCGGCUAACUCCGUGCCAGCAGCCGCGGUAAUUC
RNAcentral lists this ribosomal RNA (406 nucleotides) under uncultured bacterium. RNAcentral describes it as "partial 16S ribosomal RNA". It matches the Rfam family "Bacterial small subunit ribosomal RNA", at positions 30 to 526 of the family's 1533-position model. The record is from RNAcentral.